This 485-nucleotide ribosomal RNA is filed under the name uncultured bacterium. RNAcentral describes it as "partial 16S ribosomal RNA". It matches the Rfam family "Bacterial small subunit ribosomal RNA", at positions 899 to 1397 of the family's 1533-position model. The record is from RNAcentral.
ACUCAAAUGAAUUGACGGGGGCCCGCACAAGCAGCGGAGCGUGUGGUUUAAUUCGACGCAACGCGAAGGACCUUACCCAGAUUGGACAUGGCCCUGCAAGCGCACGGAAACGUGUGACCUUCGAGGGAGGGCCACAGAUGCUGCAUGGCUGUCGUCAGUUCGUGUCGUGAGAUGUUGGGUUAAGUCCCGCAACGAGCGCAACCCCUGCCGCCAGUUACCUGGUGUCUGGCGGGACAGCCGGCUUGAUGGCCGGAGGAAGGCGGGGAUGACGUCAAGUCCGCAUGGCUCUUACAUCUGGGGCGACACACACGCUACAAUGGCCAGGACAGCGCGUCGCGACCCGGCAACGGGAAGCAAAUCGCCCAAACCUGGUCCCAGUGCAGAUCGGGGGCUGCAACUCGCCCCCGUGAAGGUGGAGUUGCUAGUAACCGCGUAUCAGCCACGGCGCGGUGAAUACGUACCCGGGCCUUGUACACACCGCCCGU